CUUCCCUCUUAAAACUGCUUUUGCUGCAUCCCAUAAAUUUUGAAAAAUUGUAUUUUCAUUUGUUUCAAGAUAGUUUUUGAUUUACUGUUUGAUUUCCACUUUGAUCCAUUGGUGGUUCGGUACCAUGUUUAGAUCCAUAUAUUGUUUUUUAGUUUUCUUCUUGUAGCUGAUUUCUAGUUUUGUGCCAUUGUGGUUGGAAAAGAUGUUUGAUAUGAUGAUGUCAGUUUUCUUGAAUUUAUUGCAGCUUGUUUUGUGGCCUAAUAUGUGAGCUAUUCUAGAGAAUGUUCCACGUGCACUUAAAAACUGUAUUCUGGAGUUUUGGGAUGAAAUGUUCUGACAAGGAACAGCAGGUGGUGCUGGGUGCCAGGGCUAACCCUCAAGGGGCCGCAGCUGUCAUGUAGACCACCCUAUCCUGUCACAGAGUGUCUGUUACUUGUCAAUCCCAAACUGCAGAAAGUAGCGUUUCCUUCAAGAACGCUUAACACCAAUAUGAGAACCUAUUUUGGAUCACUACAGUCUCUCCAAAGUAUUUCACUACGUAAUGCACUUUUCAAGGUAUUCACCGUCUGUUAGAAGGGCCCCCACCUGAAUGUAAUGCACUUUUCAAGGUAUUCACGGUCUGUUAGAAGGGCCCCCACCUGAAUGUUCAAAUUGACCCUGUUACCUAGGAAUUCCUUCUGCCCAGGAGAAGCCACUUUUCAGGAUGAUGAAUGGGGGCUAAGACUUCCAGGUUCAGGCACCAAAAGCCUCACAGUGAGAACACGUGUGAACGUUGCAGGAACACCUGGAGACAGGAUGGGGCAUGACACUGACAUUGGGCUCCUCCCUUUACAAGUGAGGAGCUCAGAACCCUUUACAAGUGAAAGAAGUAACGUCACAAUGCUAGGAUGUUGUGUUUUUAUUGAAACAAGUAAAUCAGACAAUUACAAGAAUUGUACAAAAAUUAACAGAGCCUGUGAUGACUCCCUCAGGUCCAACCGGGUGACAUCUGCACAUUCAUCUCCUUCCACAAAAGCUCCUGGGCCUGGAGCGGGAAGGAGGUUCCCCCCCACACACACCGUCUCCUAGCACAGAGACGAGAGCUAGGUCACUUUUCUCCCCCCUCUGCUGCUCCUGACCCCUCCAUGACCCCUCCAUGGAAGGCAGCAAAGAGCAGGCUGGGCCUCAGGUGGUUAAAUAGAACUUGUUGGCACUGCUCAGAUGAGCACUUCUCCCGGCUCCAGAGCAUGGGCUGGAGAGGAACAGGGCAGAGAACACCAAUCUCAUU
Molecule: long non-coding RNA, 1267 nt
Organism: Hipposideros armiger (great roundleaf bat)
Lineage: Eukaryota; Metazoa; Chordata; Mammalia; Chiroptera; Hipposideridae
Exons: 2
Source: RefSeq, a predicted model, not a curated record